GACGAACGCUGGCGGCGUGCCUAAUACAUGCAAGUAGAACGCACAGUUUAUACCGUAGCUUGCUACACCAUACACUGUGAGUUGCGAACGGGUGAGUAACGCGUAGGUAACCUGCCUGGUAGCGGGGGAUAACUAUUGGAAACGAUAGCUAAUACCGCAUAAUAUUGAUUAUUGCAUGAUAAUUGAUUGAAAGAUGCUAUUGCAUCACUACCAGAUGGACCUGCGUUGUAUUAGCUAGUAGGUGAGGUAACGGCUCACCUAGGCGACGAUACAUAGCCGACCUGGGAGGGUGAUCAGCCACACUGGGACUGAGACACGGCCCAGACUCCUACGGGAGGGAGCAGGAGGGGAACUUCGGCAAUGGACGAAAGGCUGACCGAGCAACGCCGCGUGAGUGAAGAAGGUUUUCGGAUCGUAAAGCUCUGUUGUAAGGGAAGAACGGGUGUGAGAGUGGAAAGUUCACACUGUGACGGUAUCUAACCAGAAAGGGACGGCUAACUACGUG
Molecule: ribosomal RNA, 505 nt
Filed under: uncultured bacterium
Lineage: Bacteria
Description: partial 16S ribosomal RNA
Rfam family: Bacterial small subunit ribosomal RNA
Source: RNAcentral